AACUUCAACAACGGAUCUCUGGUUCCGCAUCGAUGAAGAACGCAGCGAAUUGCGAUACGUAAUAUGACUUGCAGACGUGAAUCAUGAAUUUUGAACGCACAUUGCGCCUAAGGUAUCCCAAGGCAUGCGUGGAUGAGCGAUAUUUACCUCAAACCUUUUGGUUUGGUUUGUAAUCCCUAAAUAUCAACGGUAUCUAGAAUAAGUUUUAGAACCACCUUUUACUUCCUAUCUCGUAAGACUACCCGCUGAACUAAGCAUAUAAAUAAGCGAGAAAGAAACCAACAGGGAUGCCUCAGAACGGCGAGUGAAGCGGCAAAAGCUCAAAUGAAUCCUUCGGGAAUUGUAUUUGAAGGUGGUUUGGUUAGAAAGUUACUUUAAGUCCAUUGGAAAAUGGCGCCAUGGAGGUGAAGCCCCUAAAAAGUACCCUUCCUUUUAUCCAUUCCUCCAAAGAGUCGAGUGUUUGGAAUGCAGCUCUAAGUGGUGGUAAAUUCCACUAAAGCUAAAUAUGCGAGAGACCGAUAGCGAACAAGUACAGUGAUGAAAGAUGAAAAGCACUUUGAAAAGAGUGAAAAAUACGUGAAAUUGUUGAAAGGGAAGCUUGCAAGCAGACACAACCCGGUUGGCACGAUGGGGAGACAAAAAAGAAAAGAAUAACCUUUCGAGUAAUACCUUUCUCAUAUCCCACCCCUCCGAGCCGCGAUUCUCAAGAUCGCGUAAUGGUUCAAUCGCCCGUUGAAACACGACCAAGAUCAACGUAGCGAUUGAGUACAAACCCAAACCGCAAUGAAAUAAAGACGAACCUCACGCAGCCCGACCACAUAAGCCAACCAUAAUUAGUAAGCAUGUGUGGACCCGAAAGAGUGAACUAACCUGGAUAGGUGAAGCCAAGGAAACCUGGUGAGCCGAGCGUUCUGACGUCAAAUCGAUCGUCGAAUCUGGUAUAGGGCGAAAACAACGAACCAUCUAGUACUGUCCUGCCGAAGUUCCCUCAGAAGCAAACCGUUACAAACAUUAGAGGUAAAGCGAAGAUUAGACCUCCGGGGCGAAAUACCUAGCGUAUCCAAACUUAAAUAUUAAAAGCCUCCUUUAAUUAAAGUAGCAUGAAGAGCUUAGUGGCCAUUUGGUAAGCAGAACUGCGAGCGGGAUGAACCGAACGUGAAGUAAAGUCCAAAACACGCUCACAGACACCACAAAAGUUUAGUCAUCUAGACAGCCGGACGGGCCAUGGAAUCGGAAUCCGCUAAGAUUAACAACUCACCGGCCGAAUGAACUACCCUGAAAAGGAUGCGCUAAGCGGUACUAUACUCGCCCUAAACCAAUAGUAGGAUAGCAGGCGUGGAGAUGACGAAGCCUUGGAUGUGAAUCUGGUCGAACUCCUCUAUGCAGAUCUUGGGUAUAACAAAUAUCAAAGAAACUUGAAGACUGAAGUGGGAAAGGUUCCAUUCAACACAAUGAACAGGUUAGUCGAUCCAACCUCUAAUAAACCUGAUAACCCUCAUUUCAAGGUGAGGGAAAGGAAUUGGUAAUAUCCAAACUGGAUAUGAGUUCACGUAACGUAACUGAAUGUGAGACGUCGGCGGGCCCUGAAGAAGUUUCUUUUCUUCUAACAGCUUAUACCCUGGAUGAUAACCAGAAUGGUUAUGGCUGAAAGCAACCCUUAUGGUCCGUGCCCUACGACGUCCUUGAAAAUCCACAGAAGAUACUUUCAUGCCAAUCGUACUGAUAACCGCAGCAGGUCCCAAGUAACAGCCUCUAUGAAGAAAAUGUAAUAAGGAAUCGCAAAUAGAUCCGUAACUCGGAUAAGGAUGGCUCAAGGUUGAGGAUCGGGUUUGGCUAAGUGAAAGUAUUUAGGCCGGGCUUCGGACUCUGGCCUUUAGUCCCUCUACCCACCCUUUCACCCUCCCUCACAACAACCAUCUUAGAACGGUACGGACAAGGAACUGACGUCUAAUAAACAUAGCAUGCGAUGCAAAAGGAUGUGACGCAAUGAUUCUGCCCAUGCCUGAAGUCAAAGGAAGAAAUCAACCAACGCGGUAAACGCGGAGUAACUAUGACUCUCUAAGUACCAAAUGCCUCGUCAUCUAAUAUGACGCGCAUGAAUGAUAACGAAUCCCACGUCCUAUCUACUACUACGAAACCACAGCCAAGGAACGGCUGCAAAAUCACGGGAAAGAAACCCGUGACUGACUCUAGUUGACAUGUGAAAGAUGAGGUAGUAAGGGGAGCUCGGCGCCCGUGAAAUACCCCACCUCUCUAUCUUUACUACAGAGUGAAGACGAUCGUUGAAAAACCACCUUCAAGUAAAUCUUAGAAACGUCAGCUCAACACCGUCAAUGGGAGUUGCUGGGCGCACAUCUUAAACAAUAACGCAGGUCCUAAGGGGGCUCAUGGAAACAGAAAUCUCCAGUAGAACAAAAGGAAAAGCCCCUUGAUUGAUUUCAGUGUGAAUACAAACCAUAAAUGUGCCUAUCGAUCCUAACACCCCGAAUUGGGCAGAGGUCCAGAAAAGUACCACAGGAUAACUGCUGUGCAGUCAAGCGUCAUACGACAUUGCUUUGAUCUCGAUUCGCUCUCCUAUCAACCGAAGCAGAAUCGUAACGUGGAUGUUCACCCACAAUAGGAACGUGAGCUGGUAGACCGUCGUGAGACAGUUAUUAACCCACGAUGUUGUUGCAAUAGAAUGAACUUAGACGAAGGAACCGUCAUCAGAUAAUGGUAUGGCCCUGUCGAGAAGGCAUGGGCCGAAGCACCAUCGCUGAUAGGCGAACGCCUCAAUCAGAACCAUGCUAAACAACGCCACACCUUGCAUUGGAGUUGAUAAAAUAGCUCGGCCCGAACCAUAAGAGGAUUGAGAAUGUUGGAAGCACCUUCUCUACCUCGAAAGCAAUGUCACCUGCAAGCAUAAAUCCUUGCAUACGACUAGACACAACGGGUAUGUAAGUAAGUAGCCU
RNAcentral lists this ribosomal RNA (2951 nucleotides) under Metschnikowia reukaufii. Its description in RNAcentral is "eukaryotic LSU rRNA". It matches the Rfam family "Eukaryotic large subunit ribosomal RNA". The record is from RNAcentral. Lineage: Eukaryota; Fungi; Ascomycota; Pichiomycetes; Serinales; Metschnikowiaceae.